Molecule: ribosomal RNA, 336 nt
Filed under: Ilumatobacteraceae bacterium
Lineage: Bacteria; Bacillati; Actinomycetota; Acidimicrobiia; Acidimicrobiales; Ilumatobacteraceae
Description: bacterial SSU rRNA
Rfam family: Bacterial small subunit ribosomal RNA
Source: RNAcentral
UUGACGGAGAGUUUGAUCCUGGCUCAGGACGAACGCUGGCGGCGGGCUUAACACAUGCAAGUCGAACGAGGUCCAUCUUGUAGCAAUACAAGUGAAGACCUAGUGGCGAACGGGUGAGGAACACGUGAGAAAUUUGCCCCGAACUUUGGGAUAACAGUUGGAAACGACUGCUAAUACCGAAUGCCGUUACGAAGUGGCAUCACUAUGUAACGAAAGAAUUUCGGUUCGGGAGAAUCUCGCGGCCUAUCAGCUUGUUGGUGAGGUAACGGCUCACCAAGGCUACGACGGGUAGCUGGUCUGAGAGGAUGAUCAGCCACACUGGGACUGAGACACGGC